GGGGAGAGUGUCUAGAUUAUUCUUGAUUUGUAAGGAACCCUCCAAGGUUCCAGAGAGUUCCAUUGGUACCUAUAAAUAGGUGAGGGCCUCAUUUGGCCAAGACACCAAGCAAGUGAGUUCCCAAAGCACUUGUAAAGCUUCAUUUGAGCAAUAAAGCUUCCAUUCUUUAAGAGUCGCCUACUACGCCUUCUAAAGCUUCCAAGUCGUGAGCAUCUUAGCAUAGUAAGCU
This 229-nucleotide long non-coding RNA is filed under the name Vitis vinifera (wine grape). RNAcentral describes it as "long non-coding RNA (VVIN_LNC000459)". Lineage: Eukaryota; Viridiplantae; Streptophyta; Magnoliopsida; Vitales; Vitaceae. The record is from RNAcentral.